CUCCAGCAGCUCCAGUGGCAUUGGGUUUGGGGAAAUUUCCAUGCUCUGAUCCUGGCUUUAUCCAAGGAUAAUGAUGCUUAUCCACUGCACACAGCCUAUCAGAGGCUUCAUUUAUCAGCAUUUGUCGGGGGCUUUGAAAUCUUGAAUAAGUGAGGCUGUCGAAGUGCAGGUGAUUAAAUGUGGCCAGCCACCAGACUGUGUGGAAAAUGAGCUCUGCUAGCAUGCAUUUGCUGCCACAGCAGCCAGAGCGUGUCCUGGCCUUGAGUACUGGGGCAGCCCAUCUCUGCUCUGUCCCUUUGGGCAGCCCUGUCCACCUGCUUACGUGGAAACUCCUUCAGAGCCCUCCCAACAUUGUAUGAAAGGGAAAUGAUCCUCUGAGGGAAAAGAAGCUAUCAUAGUAUUGCGCAUCCAUGUAGUCAGGGCCUUUUCUUGUUCAAUACAUUCACACACAAAUCUUUAGUCUGAUUUUUGUGUCCUCACUGAAGGCGAUGGGCAGUAGCAGAUUAUUUUUUAAAAUUUUGUUUCCAGAAUGAUAUCUUCCCUGAUGCCAUGCAAGCUUUCACAAAGUACCAGCCUGCAGCUGCUGCAACACCACACACAUCCAAAAUGGGUCUUAUGACUUCCACCAAAGACUUCUCCUUAAUUUAGUUACUAAAGACACUUGUGUCAUGUCAUUGGGCUCAUUUCCCCAGCCUUGCCCCUCAUUAUUAGAUGAACCUGAGCAUCCCAUGUACAGCCUUUAAGAGCAGAAAGCAGGGUGCAUUAGGGUUUGGCUGAAAUGUCCUGGUCUUCCUGCUCUAAGGUCUUGCUACUCAGCAACUGCUUGGGAUGGGUCUACGUUACAGCAGAUUAUUCAAGAAAGGGCAUAAUACCCAAGCUGAUGAUUGAAUCCCCCAUGGUCUGGAUUAAUUUGGCCUUUGGGCUUUUGUGCCCAGUCCUAGCACAUCAAUGCAUCUGGUGGCCUGCUCCAUGGCUAGUUAAUGGAGAUGGGCUGUGCUUAUUCUUCAGUGAGACAUCUUCUAUGUUACAACAAGGAAAAACCCUGAGUCAUGGGCAUGUCCAAUAAUGCACUGUAGAAUCAAUUUCCUGGUCAGCUGACUGGGGCAAAAGACUGGGGCAAAAUCCAAAGAGCUGCCACUAAAACCAGUGCCUGUGGCCAACAUCCGAGAUGUCCUGAGUCUUCUAGGAUGGACUGCAGAAAGAAAAGCAGCUUUUCAGCACAAAAUUUACACAUUUUUUCAUGCUUUUUCUUGUCCAUGCUGACAUGGCUUAUGAGAAUGUUAGGACACUCUAGGGAUGGAAGUAGAAAUUCAAGCUGUAAUCCUUGCAGUUUUAGACAUUUUAAAAAUAUCAGUGCAUCACAAGAGUAACUGACCUUUCCAGGUCCAAGAUGCUGGUUGUGUGUGAAAGGAAAGGUCAGAAAGAAUGGAGGAAGUCUUGAUACUGAUCUCCAUCAAAUUCAACAGCAAAACUUAGUGGCUGCUGGAAAUGAGACCUUGAAGUGUCUCCUGCUGAAAUGCUCUGAGAAUAUUUUGAAAACUGAAUUAAUAAAUAAUUGAACCAUCUGCAUCAGUCUGUAAGUGGAGUGACACAUGGAGGGUGUCUGUAAAUGGAACAGCUUCAAAUAUGCAGGGUAAAAUACACAUUGGAAUGGAUUUUUUUCCUUAAAAGACAUAAUUAUUAUCAAUUUGGGUCUAUAUUGCAAGCACAAUGAGAGGCCCUGCCUGAGAAAUGGGUUGUUUUCUCCUAAGAAAUGAACACACAAGUGGUAAAAUAUUGUUCCUGCCCUACAGGGGUUACCAUCGUAUUAAUAAAACAGACCAGGGUCAAGAAAAAUACCAAGGAAAUGGUUUGCCUGAGGCCACACAGCAGAUCAGCCUCCCAUUUCCUAGAGUCCAGCUGGGCUCCUUGUCUUUUUGACAGAAGACCAUGUUGCUGCUAAAGCUGCUAAUAUCUGUUGAAUCUCCUCCCAUCACCACCAGGCACCUUCUGCCCUGGACUGCAAAACUGCAUUUUAAUUAGCAUCCCUCUUGGGGCUGCAGUAGUGGUUGGAGCUGAUGUUUCACACCAGCAAUCUUUGUAAGAA
Oxyura jamaicensis (ruddy duck) is the source of this 2086-nucleotide long non-coding RNA. RefSeq lists it as uncharacterized. NCBI's taxonomy places the organism in Eukaryota, Metazoa, Chordata, Aves, Anseriformes, Anatidae. The transcript is spliced from 2 exons. The record is from RefSeq and is a predicted model, not a curated record.